AUGUUUCUUUCCCAUUUCCAACAUGGCUUUGUUCUCUCGUGUGUUGAUGCAGACAGAACCCCUAGGCUGGAUCCAGUGCUGCGCAUUCCCAAAUCUACCCUUUCAACUGUCACCUCACUGCACCAAAUCUCAGAGAAACACCAAGAACCACCCAGUCUAAUCAGUGAUUCAUGGCGCUUGAAACACACGCUGGGAACAGUAUUUGGCAUCGUGACCAUCAUCCUCAUUAUCACGAUCACACUCGGAGUGGCCUACCACAAAAAGAAAGCAAAAGGUAAGAAUUCAAAUUUCCACAAGCAAGAUGCAAUGCUGAAGUCACAGGGUACUCAUGCUGUGAAUAAGCUAGCAUGCAGCAUGAAUUUUGUUUCUGUAGACCCAGAAUACGGCACAUCUUCUUUUUCCUCGGAUAAAUGUGGAAGAAGCCUCAGCAGUGCACCUGACAUCAUCCCACCACAACAGGAGCCCAACAGCAUCAUCUACACUACUGUGCAUUUUAAGCCCCAUGAAGAAACAUCUCAGCUGUAUGCCAACUUGUGCCUCCACAAUUCAGAAUGUGCACUGAAGUCACAGGAGAGUGUGGAGUACUCUACCAUAGCCAGAAUGGGUGGUAAGAAUUAGAGCUGUCCACUGUCAUGAACAAUAUGUGACAAUAUUGCUUUUAAUAUCUAAUAUUUGAUUUUUAAAUGUUUAAGAAAUGCUUACAUGAUUUGUUUUGGUGCAAGGGCUCAGUUACUUUUGAGACAAGAAAAAUGGUUUGGGGGUUGUUAUGUAUGAAAACAGCCUACAGCGUUCACCCUCAAACUACAGCUGAGAAUCUGCACUUUGAGCAUAUAUUGAUUAUCUAAUUCCAGCUCCAAUGUUCUGUGGUAGACAGUUAAAAUGACUACUGUGUCAACACCCAAAUAUUUAUGGACAUGACUAUACUUAGUUGUCAGUGGUGGACAGUAACUAAGUAAAUGUAAUUAGUUACUGUACUUAAGUAAAGUACAGAUACACAAAAAAAACUACUUAAGUUUCUCCGUUCUCGGCUUUUUCCUUUCAGUCCACUACAUUUCAGAGUCUAAUAUCCGACUUUUUCCUCCUUUUUUUGAGAAAUCUGUCGUUCCUUUUGGUUUCUGUGUGUAUAAAAACGUAACAUGUCAAAAUGGACUUUCACCUGAAAUGAGUUCAUGAAGCCAGUCUGGUUAUAAAAAUGAUAACAGGACAUCAGAGCCAGAAUUCCUCUUUUAGUACUUUUACUUUAUACUUAAGUACAUUUGAAGGUAAAUACUUUAGUACUUUUACUCAAGUGGAGGUCUAAAGGGAGGAACUUCUACUUUUACUGGAGGAAUAUUUUACCCUGGGUAGAUCUACUCAAGUACACGAUUUGUGUACUCCGUCCAGCUCUGUUAGUUGUUGAGCCUUCUGUGGAGCCAUCUGUUAAAUAUAUGUUUUCUACUGACACUGAACAAUGAAUAACGUGUACUUAAUGUUGGCUCUGACUGGAAAUAAAUUGUAUAACUGUUGCACAGUGUUGUAUAUUGUGGAAAUAUUUAUGUUUAUUAUUCAAACCUGACAUGGCCUUUAAAGUGACCUCAUUACAAUGCUGUAGAUGAUUUUUUUCACUGUUCACUGUUGUCAUGGUGAUGGAAAUGACCUCUAUGGGUUAUUUAAUUCUAUAUUUAUAUAGAAAAACGUGAGAAGUAGUGAAAUCUGUUCAUUUACAAUGUGAAUAAAAUUCUAAUGAUCUAAGACAACUGAUGGAGUCUCUCUAGUGUGUGUGUGUGUGUGUGUGUGUGUGUGUGUGUGUGUGUGUGUGCGCGCAUGCC
Molecule: long non-coding RNA, 1808 nt
Organism: Pygocentrus nattereri (red-bellied piranha)
Lineage: Eukaryota; Metazoa; Chordata; Actinopteri; Characiformes; Serrasalmidae
Source: Ensembl